RNAcentral lists this ribosomal RNA (383 nucleotides) under uncultured eukaryote. Its description in RNAcentral is "partial 18S ribosomal RNA". It matches the Rfam family "Eukaryotic small subunit ribosomal RNA", at positions 592 to 976 of the family's 1831-position model. The record is from RNAcentral.
CAAUAGCGUAUAUUAAAGUUGUUGCAGUUAAAAAGCUCGUAGUUGGAUUUCUGGUAGGAGUGACCGUUCCGAACUUGAUUGUUCGUGUAUUGUGUUUUCUCCAGCCAUCCUUGUGGAGAACUUUUCUCGCAUUAAUUUGUAGGGAUUGGGACCCGCAUCGUUUACUGUGAAAAAAUUAGAGUGUUUAAAGCAGGCAAUCGCUUGAAUACAUUAGCAUGGAAUAAUAAGAUAGGACUUUGGUACUAUUUUGUUGGUUUGCAUACCAAAUUAAUGAUCAACAGGAACAGUUUGAGGAUAUUCGUAUGAACAUGUCAGAGGUGAAAUUCUUGGAUUUUGAUCAGACGAACUACUGCGAAAGCAUUUAUCAAGGAUGUUUUCAUUAA